RNAcentral lists this ribosomal RNA (620 nucleotides) under Nolanea sp. DLL9976. Its description in RNAcentral is "partial small subunit ribosomal RNA". It matches the Rfam family "Bacterial small subunit ribosomal RNA", at positions 358 to 963 of the family's 1533-position model. The record is from RNAcentral. Lineage: Eukaryota; Fungi; Basidiomycota; Agaricomycetes; Agaricales; Entolomataceae.
AGAAUAUUAGUCAAUGCUCGCAAGAGUGAACUAGCUAACUGAAAUCACAAGAUCCGCUACAUGUGGUGAAUGUAAUAACGUAAGGGAAAAAAAUGAUAUUACCUUACUAUUAGUGUUGUCCAAAACUGGUGCCAGAAGACUCGGUAAGACCAGAGACGCAAACGUUAGUCGUCCUAAUCAGGCGUAAAGGGUAUGUAGGCUGCUUUAAAAGUUUUAUAUUUAAUAGCUCUGUUUAAUUCUAAAUAUUUAUUUAAUAUUUAAUUUAAACAGUAAAUAUACAAUGAAUUAAAGCUAGGAUCAAAUUGAGGAUAAUUAAAAUAAUACUUAGUGUAGGGUUUGAAUCUGGUGAUACUAGGGGGAGUACUAACGGUGAAAGCUUUUUAUCUAGAAAUGAUUGACGCUGAGAAACGAAGGUGAGAAAAGGAAAUAGGAUUAGAUACCCAGAUACCUCUCACAGUCAACGAUGAAUGGUGGUUGUUAGUUAGUUUUAUUUAACUGAUAACGAUGUUAACACGAUAACCAUUCCGCCUUGCGAGUACGGUUGCAAAACUGAAACCAAAAAAAUUAGUCGGUCUCGAAGCAAACGAAGUGAAGCAUGUUAUUUAAUUCGAUAAUCCGCA